UAAUUAGCUAAUUGGCAGAAAAAUGCAUUAGAAUUAGAAUCUAAUUAUACUUUA
RNAcentral lists this transfer RNA (54 nucleotides) under Habronattus mexicanus. RNAcentral's name for it is "tRNA-Leu". The record is from RNAcentral. Lineage: Eukaryota; Metazoa; Arthropoda; Arachnida; Araneae; Salticidae.